RNAcentral lists this ribosomal RNA (449 nucleotides) under uncultured bacterium. RNAcentral describes it as "partial 16S ribosomal RNA". It matches the Rfam family "Bacterial small subunit ribosomal RNA", at positions 29 to 523 of the family's 1533-position model. The record is from RNAcentral.
AACGAACGCUGGCGGCAGGCUUAACACAUGCAAGUCGAACGCGCCCUUCGGGGCGAGUGGCAGACGGGUGAGUAACGCGUGGGAACCUACCUUUUGGUACGGAAUAACUCAGGGAAACUUGAGCUAAUACCGUAUGUGCCCUUCGGGGGAAAGAUUUAUCGCCAAAGGAUGGGCCCGCGUCGGAUUAGCUAGUUGGUAGGGUAACGGCCUACCAAGGCGACGAUCCGUAGCUGGUCUGAGAGGAUGAUCAGCCACACUGGGACUGAGACACGGCCCAGACUCCUACGGGAGGCAGCAGUGGGGAAUAUUGGACAAUGGGGGCAACCCUGAUCCAGCCAUGCCGCGUGAGUGAUGAAGGCCUUAGGGUUGUAAAGCUCUUUCGCCGGUGAAGAUAAUGACGGUAUCCGGAGAAGAAGCCCCGGCUGACUUCGUGCCAGCCGCCGCCGUAA